Molecule: long non-coding RNA, 249 nt
Organism: Bombina bombina (fire-bellied toad)
Lineage: Eukaryota; Metazoa; Chordata; Amphibia; Anura; Bombinatoridae
Exons: 3
Source: RefSeq, a predicted model, not a curated record
UUGAGACCUUCUUCCAACUGCUUUCUCUUGAGGAACUCAUGAGUAAAGGAGAGCCAGAGAUUAUAAAGGAGUUAUACAAGGGUACAUCAGAAGAGCUGACAGAGUUGCUUAUGACAAUCCAACUGCAACAGAAACAGCAAGGGUUUAAAAUAAUCUUCAAUCAUUUAAACAAGUGGUUAUGUCCAUCCAAUAACCGCAGUCACUGGGGAGCGGCAAUGAAGAUUUCUUCUAAGCUUCUUAAUAACUACC